CCCUUAGAUGUUCUGGGCCGCACACGCGCUACACUGAAGGAGGCAGCGUGUACUCCUGGAUCGAAAGAUUUGGGUAACCCGCGAAUCUCCUUCGUGCUAGGGAUUGAGGUUUGCAGUUAUCCUUCAUGAACGAGGAAUUCCCAGUAAGUGCAAGUCAUAAGCUUGCGCUGACUACGUCCCUGCCCUUUGUACACACCGCCCGUCGCUACUACCGAUUGAAUGAUUUAGUGAGGACUUCGGACUGGGACCGAUGCGGCUUUCGGGCUGCGUCGGUAUUCUGGAAAGAUGUCCAAACUGUAUCAUUUAGAGGAAGUAAAAGUCGUAACA
RNAcentral lists this ribosomal RNA (327 nucleotides) under uncultured eukaryote. Its description in RNAcentral is "partial 18S ribosomal RNA". It matches the Rfam family "Eukaryotic small subunit ribosomal RNA", at positions 1470 to 1796 of the family's 1831-position model. The record is from RNAcentral.